Molecule: ribosomal RNA, 397 nt
Filed under: uncultured bacterium
Lineage: Bacteria
Description: bacterial SSU rRNA
Rfam family: Bacterial small subunit ribosomal RNA
Source: RNAcentral
AACGAACGCUGGCGGCGUGGAUAAGACAUGCAAGUCGAACGGGAACUUCAGCUGUAGCAAUACAGUUGAAGUUUUAGUGGCGAACGGGUGCGUAACACGUGGGCAAUCUGCCGAGAAGUGGGGGAUAGCUCGCCGAAAGGCGAAUUAAUACCGCAUAUGAUCAGCUAAGACAUCUUAGCGACAUCAAAGCCGGGGCAACCUGGCGCUUUUUGAGGAGCCCGCGGCCUAUCAGCUAGUUGGUGAGGUAACGGCUCACCAAGGCUAUGACGGGUAGCUGGUCUGAGAGGACGACCAGUCACACUGGAACUGAGACACGGUCCAGACACCUACGGGUGCAGCAGUCGAGUAAUUUUUCUCAAGUGGGGCAACCCUGAAGGAGCGACGCCGCGUGGAGGAU